UAUAUUUUAGUAUAUGAUGUACAUGAGUUUUUGAUAUUCAAUGAGAUAGUUUAAUUCUGUUUAAUAUAA
RNAcentral lists this transfer RNA (69 nucleotides) under Diaphanes pectinealis. RNAcentral describes it as "tRNA-Gln". Lineage: Eukaryota; Metazoa; Arthropoda; Insecta; Coleoptera; Lampyridae. The record is from RNAcentral.